UAAUACGUAGGGGGCAAGCGUUGUCCGGAUUUAUUGGGCGUAAAGAGCGUGUAGGCGGCCGUGUAGGUCCGUUGUGAAAACUCGAGGCUCAACCUCGAGACGUCGAUGGAAACCACACGGCUAGAGUCCGGAAGAGGAGAGUGGAAUUCCUGGUGUAGCGGUGAAAUGCGCAGAUAUCAGGAAGAACACCUAUGGCGAAGGCAGCUCUCUGGGACGGUACUGACGCUGAGACGCGAAAGCGUGGGGAGCGAACAGGAUUAGAUACCCUGGUAGUCCACGCCGUAAACGAUGAGUGCUAGGUGUGGGGGGUGUCGACUCCCUCCGUGCCGAAGCUAACGCAUUAAGCACUCCGCCUGGGGAGUACGGCCGCAAGGCUA
RNAcentral lists this ribosomal RNA (377 nucleotides) under uncultured bacterium. Its description in RNAcentral is "bacterial SSU rRNA". It matches the Rfam family "Bacterial small subunit ribosomal RNA", at positions 521 to 896 of the family's 1533-position model. The record is from RNAcentral.